This 688-nucleotide ribosomal RNA is filed under the name Nocardioides sp. Pia1s4. RNAcentral's name for it is "bacterial SSU rRNA". It matches the Rfam family "Bacterial small subunit ribosomal RNA", at positions 82 to 784 of the family's 1533-position model. The record is from RNAcentral. Lineage: Bacteria; Bacillati; Actinomycetota; Actinomycetes; Propionibacteriales; Nocardioidaceae.
UCGGGGUACUCGAGCGGCGAACGGGUGAGUAACACGUGAGUAAUCUGCCCCAGGCUCUGGGAUAGCCACCGGAAACGGUGAUUAAUACCGGAUACGACAACCGAUUGCAUGAUCUGGUUGUGGAAAGUUUUUCGGCCUGGGAUGUGCUCGCGGCCUAUCAGCUUGUUGGUGAGGUAAUGGCUCACCAAGGCUUCGACGGGUAGCCGGCCUGAGAGGGUGACCGGCCACACUGGGACUGAGACACGGCCCAGACUCCUACGGGAGGCAGCAGUGGGGAAUAUUGGACAAUGGGCGGAAGCCUGAUCCAGCAACGCCGCGUGAGGGAUGACGGCCUUCGGGUUGUAAACCUCUUUCAGCACAGACGAAGCGAAAGUGACGGUAUGUGCAGAAGAAGGACCGGCCAACUACGUGCCAGCAGCCGCGGUAAUACGUAGGGUCCGAGCGUUGUCCGGAAUUAUUGGGCGUAAAGGGCUCGUAGGCGGUCUGUCGCGUCGGGAGUGAAAACCAGGUGCUUAACACCUGGCCUGCUUUCGAUACGGGCAGACUAGAGGUACUCAGGGGAGAAUGGAAUUCCUGGUGUAGCGGUGAAAUGCGCAGAUAUCAGGAGGAACACCGGUGGCGAAGGCGGUUCUCUGGGAGUAUCCUGACGCUGAGGAGCGAAAGUGUGGGGAGCGAACAGGAUUAGAUA